RNAcentral lists this long non-coding RNA (879 nucleotides) under Monodelphis domestica (gray short-tailed opossum). Its description in RNAcentral is "lncRNA (ENSMODG00000048873.1)". Lineage: Eukaryota; Metazoa; Chordata; Mammalia; Didelphimorphia; Didelphidae. The record is from RNAcentral.
CUCAAAACAGAACACUAGAGCUGGAAAUGACCUGAGAACACAGAAUGUUUCAGCUUGAAGGGACAGAAGAGAUCAUUUCAUCCAACUCUCUCUCUCCUCUCAAAUUUUACAAAUGAUAAAGAUAUAUGAAAUGGCCAAGGGCAUCCAAACCACCAGAGCUGAGACCAGAAACCACAUUUCCUAAGUUCCAGUCCUGGACAUUUGUUCCCUAUGUUACCAGGAGGUGAGAAUUGAAUUUGACCAUGAAGAAUGGAUUGUGGUGUCAUUGGAAAGAAUAAUAAUCCCAUGCAAUGAAGAUGGGGUAAACAAAGAAAGAGUUCUAAAAAUGAAGUACUAAGAAGUGAUUCACUACAAAGUGGUGAGGCAAAUGAGACUAUAAGUUAAGGAAGACCCAUAAACUCAUAGACUUUAAAAGCUAGAAGGGACCGAGGACAUCUUCUACUUCAAUCAGCUCAUUUUAAAGAUCCAGCCAUCAAGAACAGAAUUUUACUGACUUGGAGAAUUCAAUAAAGCAGCUGAGGAAGACUUAAAAUAAUAAUGAUGCCGGAUAUUUCUAGAGCCAAAGACCCAGGAGAGCCUGAAGCACCUUUCCCCCGCAAGAGUAAGCUUAAUUGCCACAACAUGCAUGGCCCAGCAGUGACUGGAAAUCUUUCUCCUCAACACUUCCCAAUUGAAGGGACUUCUGAAGAGAAACCUGAGCAGACUUUACCUCAGCUCCUGUUGCCCAGGGCACAAUGAAUAUUGAAAUAUGCCCUGCAUGAUAGCACAUGUAUAACCAAUAUAAAAUGGCUUAUUGUCUCAGAGGAGAGAGGGAAGGGAGGAAGGUAAGCACUGUGGAACUUAAAAUGUUAAGAAAUAAAUGCCAAAAUUGUUUUUACA